AUGAGUCUCCGACUGUCGCUCGGCCGCGGCCCCCGCUGCACUGGCAAUUGCCAAGCCCACCACCGGUUCAGCCGCACUUGGCCACCUCUGCUUAAGCCGCCAAGCGUCGAGUCGCGCGACCUCGAUUGUAACCUGCUGCGGUCGGCCAUUGCCACUGCCACUACGAUGAGCCGCCGUGGGUUCUCUGAGCCGGCCACAGACCCGCGCGACCACGUGUUCACAAUAUUACAGAAAACCCAUGGCGCUGUUCUGCCCCUAACCUCCUCCUACCCCGAUCCAAAACUCCCCACCGCCGUGAGGCUCCACACCAACCCAUCUCCAGCCCCUGGCUCCGGUGUGCCUCCCGCUGACGGCCCUCCCGGCCCCUGCGCACCACUCGCCGCCGUCGCCCCGUCCCCGACGCGCUUCCCGCUGCCGCCACUCGGCCACGACGCGCCUACCGCCGCAGCCGUCCCGGCCUCGGCGCGCUUCCCGGCGCUGCCUCCCCGGCCUGGCGCGCCUCUCUCCAUCCCUAGAUUGCCUCCGGCCGCCGCCCUCCAUCCCCACCACGCCCACAUGCCCGGACCUCUGCCGGCCACCGCAUCCACUGGCUCGGCUGCACGCGACCGAGACCCCCCUCUCGCAGCAAACCUUGCCGCUGCACGCCGCCGGCCAGAGCCACUACUCCCUCUGCUCCUCAAUUGUCCCAGUCUGAACAAAAAUCACAUGUUCUUUUCUUUGCCUAAUCAACGUCGUCGGGAGCUAGAGCUCGUACAGAUCCUAGACCUCGUCGGAAGGGCCAAGGUCGCUGGGGUUCAGCAUCGGCGGCGACUUCAACAUAGCACAAGAAGUUCAUGUAAAUCUACUGCAAAGGUUCAGUUCAGCUUGAGAGCUAGAGAGAGAUUAGUUGCUGUUGCUGCCCAUGUUUUUCUGAUUGAUGAGACGUGCUUUCCACAGAUGGUCUUCCUGUGUAUCAUUAACAUGAGCAGAGGAUCAUGCUCUCUUGCGUUCGUGACUUUGGAUGGCUUCUGGUCAACUACAGAUUGCUUGCCACCGCCACGCAUUCCUUCGGAAACAGCCACCUUGCAUCCCACCGUCGGCCACACACGAUGCUACCAACACACUGCCCCAGGCCGAGCCAUCCACCAGCAGACGAGCUGGCUCUGGCUGUGCUCGAGGUCGCCUCGCUCUUCCCUGCUGGAGGACAAGUUCUACUACAGCCAUGGAUUAACAAUUGUCUAUUGUUAUGCCAUCAAGGCGUUGCCCAAGAGCCACCCGAUUUCUCUCAAAAUUUUGGAGAUCAGUAAUUGUGAGGCGCUCAAGUUGUUGCCCAAGAAUGACCUUCCAAGUUCAAUGCUAGAGUUACAUGUCCUUCUAUGAGCAGCGAGGAGCUAAAAAAAAGAGAGUGCCGCAAGCUAAUAGGAACAAUCCCGAUUGACAUAACCUGACAAGUCCAAGGGUACUUACCAAUGAACUUGCUAUUAAUUAGAACUUGGCUAUUAUGUACUUAUCUCGCUACAUGAGACAUUCAUGUACAUAGACACGGGGAAUUCACAUAUAUCACAAAUUCAUGUACAGGAAAGUUGAUGCUUUGUGUUUACAUUUUAAAAAUUGUGUUCUCAGCCUUCACCAAAUCGUG
RNAcentral lists this ribosomal RNA (1618 nucleotides) under Triticum aestivum (bread wheat). RNAcentral describes it as "partial small subunit ribosomal RNA". The record is from RNAcentral. Lineage: Eukaryota; Viridiplantae; Streptophyta; Magnoliopsida; Poales; Poaceae.